This 217-nucleotide ribosomal RNA is filed under the name Vibrio cholerae HC-19A1. RNAcentral's name for it is "partial 16S ribosomal RNA". It matches the Rfam family "Bacterial small subunit ribosomal RNA", at positions 8 to 220 of the family's 1533-position model. Lineage: Bacteria; Pseudomonadati; Pseudomonadota; Gammaproteobacteria; Vibrionales; Vibrionaceae. The record is from RNAcentral.
AGAGUUUGAUCAUGGCUCAGAUUGAACGCUGGCGGCAGGCCUAACACAUGCAAGUCGAGCGGCAGCACAGAGGAACUUGUUCCUUGGGUGGCGAGCGGCGGACGGGUGAGUAAUGCCUGGGAAAUUGCCCGGUAGAGGGGGGAUAACCAUUGGAAACGAUGGCUAAUACCGCAUAACCUCGCAAGAGCAAAGCAGGGGACCUUCGGGCCUUGCGCUA